CACAUAUAUUCCUCUAAACACCUCAAAAUGAAUCAAAAAGCAUAGCUGUAAGACAAUACGCACCUUUUAACAAAGAAAACGCCCGUGCAAACCAGGCUGCUUUUUACCAAAAAACUAGCCCCCUCCCCUAAUAACAACAAACCAACAUCCAUACCCCCGAACACACCACCCACCCAUUUAACAAACCAUUUUACCCCCCUAGUAUAGGCGAUAGAAAAGGACCCGGAAGCAACAGAGAAAGUACCGCAAGGGAACGUUGAAAGAGAACUGAAACAACCCAGUUAAGUCUAACAAAGCAGAGAUUCUGGCUCGUACCUUUUGCAUCAUGAAUUAGCCAGUAAAAUCCAAGCAAAGUGCACUUUAGUUUGCCUUCCCGAAACUAAGUGAGCUACUCCAAGAUAGCCUAGUAAUAGGGCAAACCCGUCUCUGUGGCAAAAGAGUGGGAAAAGCUUCGAGUAGUGGUGACAGACCUAUCGAACUUAGUUAUAGCUGGUUGCCUGAGAACUGGAUAGGAGUUCAGCCUCUCGGCUUCUCCCCUCACAACCCCACCCUCUAACCCAUUAGACACCUAAAAGAAACCGAGAGAGUUAGUUUAAGGAGGUACAGCUCCUUAAACAUAAAACACAGCUUUCCCAGGAGGGUAAAGAUCACAAUUUAAAUAAGGAAUAAUAUCCCGGUGGGCCUAAAAGCAGCCAUCCACAUAGAAAGCGUUAAAGCUCAGACAUACCCCGUCUCCCCAUAUUCCGAUAACCCAGUCUUAUCCCCCUAAACCUAUCAGGCUGCCCCAUGCAAACAUGGGGGUAAUCAUGCUAAUAUGAGUAAUAAGAGAGUCCUCAGACCCUCUCCCCGCACAAGUGUAAAUUGGAACGGACUAUCCACCAAACCCUAACGGCCCCAAACAAAGAGGGAACUGAACAAUAAAUUAAACAACCAGAAGACCAUCCAAAAAUAAACCGUUAACCCUACACUGGCGUGCCCCCUUGGGAAAGGCUAAAAGAAAGAAAAGGAACUCGGCAAACACACCUAGCCUCGCCUGUUUACCAAAAACAUCGCCUCUUGCAAAAUCAACAAAUAAGAGGUCCCGCCUGCCCCGUGACUAUAUGUUCAACGGCCGCGGUAUUUUGACCGUGCAAAGGUAGCGAAAUCACUUGUCUUUUAAAUGAAGACCUGUAUGAAUGGCAUAACGAGGGCUUAACUGUCUCUUCUUUCCAAGCCAAUGAAAUUGAUCUCCCCGUGCAGAAGCGGGGAUAACUACAUAAGACGAGAAGACCCUGUGGAGCUUUAGACACCAAGGCAGAUUAUGUUAAACACCCCUAACUAACGGACUAAACUAAUUAAUCCCUGCCCUAUUGUCUUAGGUUGGGGCGACCGCGGGGAAAUAAUAACCCCCCAUGUGGAACAGGAGCACCCCUCCCACAGUUAAGAGCCUCCGCUCUAACAAACAGAACCUCUGACCAAACAUGAUCCGGCAACGCCGAUCAACGGACCAAGUUACCCCAGGGAUAACAGCGCAAUCCCCUUUUAGAGCCCAUAUCGACAAGGGGGUUUACGACCUCGAUGUUGGAUCAGGACAUCCUAAUGGUGCAGCCGCUAUUAAGGGUUCGUUUGUUCAACGAUUAAAGUCCUACGUGAUCUGAGUUCAGACCGGAGUAAUCCAGGUCAGUUUCCAUCUAUGAAAUGUGCUUUUCCAGUACGAAAGGACCGAAAAGUGGAGGCCCAUGCCCCAAGCACACCUCCCCCUUACCUAAUGAUAUCAACUCAAUUAGGUAAAAGGACAUGCCCCAUCCGCCGUAGAAAACGGCAA
RNAcentral lists this ribosomal RNA (1804 nucleotides) under Chaetodontoplus mesoleucus (vermiculated angelfish). RNAcentral's name for it is "16S ribosomal RNA". The stretch from base 202 to 1804 matches the Rfam family "Bacterial large subunit ribosomal RNA". Lineage: Eukaryota; Metazoa; Chordata; Actinopteri; Pomacanthidae. The record is from RNAcentral.